Molecule: ribosomal RNA, 449 nt
Filed under: uncultured bacterium
Lineage: Bacteria
Description: partial 16S ribosomal RNA
Rfam family: Bacterial small subunit ribosomal RNA
Source: RNAcentral
AACGAACGCUGGCGGCAUGCCUAACACAUGCAAGUCGAACGAGAUCUUCGGGUCUAGUGGCGCACGGGUGCGUAACGCGUGGGAAUCUGCCCUUUGGUUCGGAAUAACAGUUGGAAACGACUGCUAAUACCGGAUGAUGACGAAAGCCCAAAGAUUUAUCGCCAGAGGAUGAGCCCGCGUAGGAUUAGCUAGUUGGUGUGGUAAAGGCGCACCAAGGCGACGAUCCUUAGCUGGUCUGAGAGGAUUAGCAGCCACACUGGGACUGAGACACGGCACAGACUCCUACGGGAGGCAGCAGUGGGGAAUAUUGGACAAUGGGCGAAAGCCUGAUCCAGCAAUGCCGCGUGAGUGAUGAAGGCCUUAGGGUUGUAAAGCUCUUUUACCCGGGAUGAUAAUGACAGUACCGGGAGAAUAAGCUCCGGCUAACUCCGUGCCAGCCGCCGCGGUAA